This 408-nucleotide ribosomal RNA is filed under the name uncultured bacterium. RNAcentral describes it as "partial 16S ribosomal RNA". It matches the Rfam family "Bacterial small subunit ribosomal RNA", at positions 28 to 526 of the family's 1533-position model. The record is from RNAcentral.
GACGAACGCUGGCGGCGUGCUUAACACAUGCAAGUCGAACUAAGUGGCGAACGGGUGAGUAACGCGUAAUCAACCUGCCCUUCAGAGGGGGACAACAGUUGGAAACGACUGCUAAUACCGCAUACUGAAGGAGGGGAUUGCGUCUGAUUAGCUAGUUGGAGGGGUAACGGCCCACCAAGGCGAUGAUCAGUAGCCGGGCUGAGAGGAUGAACGGCCACAUUGGGACUGGGAAACGGCCCAGACUCCUACGGGAGGCAGCAGGUGGGAAUCUUCCGAAAUGGACGAAAGUCUGACGGAGCAACGCCGCGUGAGUGAUGACGGCCUUCGGGUUGUAAAGCUCUGUUAAUCGGGACGCGGUACCGGAAGAGAAAGCCACGGCUAACUACGUGCCAGCCGCCGCGGUAAUAC